UAGCCUCAUAAUUCUUCACCUCAACUUGAAA
RNAcentral lists this non-coding RNA (31 nucleotides) under Mus musculus (house mouse). Lineage: Eukaryota; Metazoa; Chordata; Mammalia; Rodentia; Muridae. The record is from RNAcentral. RNAcentral also lists the same sequence under 1 other name.